RNAcentral lists this ribosomal RNA (424 nucleotides) under uncultured Bacteroides sp. RNAcentral describes it as "bacterial SSU rRNA". It matches the Rfam family "Bacterial small subunit ribosomal RNA", at positions 355 to 776 of the family's 1533-position model. Lineage: Bacteria; Pseudomonadati; Bacteroidota; Bacteroidia; Bacteroidales; Bacteroidaceae. The record is from RNAcentral.
UGAGGAAUAUUGGUCAAUGGCCGAGAGGCUGAACCAGCCAAGUAGCGUGAAGGAUGACGGCCCUACGGGUUGUAAACUUCUUUUAUAAGGGAAUAAAGGGCGCCACGCGUGGUGUUUUGCAUGUACCUUAUGAAUAAGCAUCGGCUAACUCCGUGCCAGCAGCCGCGGUAAUACGGAGGAUGCGAGCGUUAUCCGGAUUUAUUGGGUUUAAAGGGAGCGCAGGCGGGCGAUUAAGUCAGUUGUGAAAUGCCACGGCUCAACCGUGGACUUGCAGUUGAUACUGGUUGCCUUGAGUGCGGCAGAGGCAGGCGGAAUUCGUGGUGUAGCGGUGAAAUGCUUAGAUAUCACGAAGAACUCCGAUUGCGAAGGCAGCUUGCUGGACCGUUACUGACGCUGAGGCUCGAAAGUGCGGGUAUCAAACAGG